Alligator sinensis (Chinese alligator) is the source of this 4141-nucleotide long non-coding RNA. RefSeq lists it as uncharacterized. Lineage: Eukaryota; Metazoa; Chordata; Crocodylia; Alligatoridae. The transcript has 5 exons. The record is from RefSeq and is a predicted model, not a curated record.
GAGUGCCCAGGCCAGAACUAUAUAAGCCCUGGUCUGAGUUAGCCAGAGAAACCGGGCUGGGACAGAAGGUGGACUUCUGAAGGCUCCAAGCAAAGCUGCAGCAGCCCUGCAAGUGAGAGCAACAGGAAUUAGGACUCAGAGAUGUGGAGCCCAUGGACAUGACUGAAAACUGUGAUGCUCUUCUUUAACAUAUGCAUGGAGGAUUCACACACAAAACAACAAAUCUGAACACAAUAAAGCAAGGCUUGUUGAUCAGGAAAUGGAACACAAUAUUUUACAGCAAUUUGAAAAAUAUAGAGACUGAGAGAUGAAGCCCAUCGUGUCCCAGGAAGUCCAGUGCGGAUUGUGGUCCAGGAAGCCAAAACCCGCAUGAUGGCACCAACUCCGGAGCCGCAGGUUGAACUCUGACACAGGCAUCUUAUUCUGCAGAGAACGAAAGUAACCAUCAAUCUCAUCUGUUGUGGCCCUGCUCCCUCACAGCCUGCUCACCUCUGCCUGGAGUUCCCCCACCUGCUCCUCCAGGGACUCAAGCAGGGCACACAUAGGACAGUAGCAUCUGCAAACCACAGUCAAGAAACUCAGCUGACUCCGACAUUUAACAAGGCAUAGUUCUGUCCCAGUGGCAGAUGUUGCGGCAAAUGGAAAGAGAAGAUAUGUGUCUUACAUUCAAGGAACUCAGUCAUUUGGCAGCAGAAUAUGGAAAAGCCUGCCUGAAGCUGAGGUUGUCCCAAUUUUAUCUAACCUUCUGUGUUUAUCAGGCACACAUUUUGAAUCUUUAUUUUCCCAAAACUAGCUGAGGCUCAAAUUAUACCAAGAAAUCAGGGACAGUGUCUCAACUGACCUGAAUUGUGGUUGUAAAUCAUUACACUUAUUUAUAUCAGAACAAAUUAAUGCUAGAAUCCCAGAAAGCUUACCUUAUUGGUAAGGGAUUCCUGAAUUUCUAAAUCAAUAGAAGCCACUAUUUCUAGCGCCAGUUACAAAAAAGCAAGCUGACAUUAAAUGUGUCCUUGGUCUAAGACUACAUAUUACCCAUCCUGUCCCAUAGACCAGUUUAAUUGCUGGGGGGGAAUAUUGCCUUUGGGAAAGAAGAAAAAGAAAGAAACACUUAUCGGGAAGAUUGUGAAUUUUUUGUUUUUGGUUUUUUUAAUGGUGGUUGUUUGAAGCUGCUCAGAGAUUUGGUAUGUUAAAGACACAAAAAAGAUAGCAAAGUACAGAGGAAUCAGUCAAAAUGCAUGGUAAAUGCAAUGUAUAACAUGGCUCUGAAGUUUAUAAUGUGCAUUCCUCCACACAUGGUAGUACACAUAGCAAUAUACUGCAUUGGGAGGUUUUCUAGUGAUUAGCUGUUCUGCUGUAUUUGGUCCUUUGCACUUCUUCAGCCAUCGUAAGACACUAUCACAUCUUUCACUACAAUUCAAACUACUUUAUCUACCAAGUCUCACUGAUUUUGAAAUUCUAUUGAAAAUACAAUAGACUUCUUAGCUACUGAAAUAAAUUAUAAAGGAUAAAAUACAAAGUACAGUCUAGAACCACAUAUACAGGUCAAGUGGGAAUCACUGAAAGUAUCUAUUGGCUUAUAUGGCAGUGUUGGAGUGAUGUAGCUUGAUGACCCAGGAAUUAUAUGAGAGUCAAGGAUCUUUGUGGAUGAUAUCUUUUACUGGACCAACUGCAUGACUGAGAUAGACUUAGACAAGCAUUCAAAUGUGAAGCAUUCUUGAUCACCUGCUUAUAAUACCCCUCUGUUGCCUACACCAGACAGACAGGGUGAUCUCAAUAUGCAAGAAUGAACCUAAACCCCUGAACACUAAACUGACAUCUCAGCUGCAAAAAGACCCAAAAGGCUGAAGCAGAACACUUCAACCUCCCUGGGCACUCUAUUGCUGACCUCAGAAUUGCUGUUCUCAAGCAAACAAAAGAAAAGAAAAGAACAAUAGGACCGCAGACUGUGGAACAAGAAAUCAUCCGCAAACUGGACUCUGUUAACUAUGGUUUAAACAGGGAUUAUGGAUCCUUAUGUCAUCACCUGGACUAGUUUUUAUGACCCCCACCCCCCACCUUUGUUCCUAUGGGUUCUUUGCUUGUAUGCCUCUUAUAGCAUUUCUCCUCCCCCUUCCCACCUCCCUCUCUCUCCAGCGUCCUUAUCUAUUGUAUUUUAAUCACUCACUUCACUUUAUACUCUGCUCUCUGCAUGUUCUUUCACAACCUCUGAUAAAGUGAACUUCAUUUCCCUAAAGCUUGUGCUCUCUUUAUAUAUAUCUUAUUUAGUCAGUCUAUAAAGGUACAUAUUUACUCUGCCUUCUAUUCCAACCACACAUCUGGUCAAAUAAAACAAAAAUCUUUGCUUCUCACAUAUCUGCUUAUAUGGCCUUAAUCCAACAAUAUCUGGGCGUAAGCCAAAAAUUAAAAAAUUGGAAAUAUACUAACACUAUUUCUACUUCUUCCUUCCAUGUCUUUGUAAUGAUACCUACAUGUUACAGGUUAAAUGUUAAGAUAAACAAAAGACCACAGCUUUGAUUUAAAUAAUUGAUUUUCCACAUGUGUGGAACAUACAUGGAUAUUAAAUGGAUUUUCAAUGCUUUGUGCUUUGCCUGCACUGGGGUGAAAUUCAGCCCUAGGCUAACAAUGUACAUUAUGCGCUUUUUUCCUAUUUUGAAGCUUAAAUGGGGUGUAAAUGACAUGUGAGUAUUGCCUAGGCCUUGAGCUGACCCCUCUGAACAAAGCUGAAUGUCACCUUGUUACAAGGAAUUAUAUUUCCAUUUUCUUUCACAAUUAGUUAACACUGUUUUUAUUGCAGCAUGGAUAAUCAGAUGAAGGCAAUCUCUAGCUAGGCAAUGACAUCCUAAACUAUUCACACUUACGAGAAAGAAGGGCAGGCAACUGCUCUCUGGGUAGGAGAUAAGUGAAAGAUUAAUAUCAAAAGGUCAGACAUUUAUGAAGAUCUUUUUUGAGACUAACAAAUCCUCAAAACCUGGGUAGCAAUCUUGUGAGGUGAUUUCUCAUCAUAUUUGGCACUCCUUCUUGAUCUUUGCCAAAAAUUUGGCUCUGAAGAGGUGAUCAAAAAAUUAAAAAAUAAAUGUCAGUGUUAAACAAUGCUUUUAGUCUCUAAAGUAUUUGGGUUCAAUAAUACAAACAAGUAUAGUUCUUAUUUUCUCCAGCAAGUGUUACCAAAAUGCAAUCAAGAUCUAAGCCAAAGAAGCACCUUCAUUCUCUAGAAAUCUGAGAUACACGUUUCACAAACUGAUUACAUAUGCCACUAUAACAACAGUUCAUGUUCUCUUAGAAUUUAAAGGAGAAAAAAAUAAAAAUCUAUAUAUUAUUCACCAUAUUGGUAACAAUUAAUUUAUUGUUGCUGACUGAAAGGAGUUCAAAAUAAUGAUAAUAGGACUUUUAAGUAUUCAUUACAUGAAAGGUUCCUAAAACAGAAUAGGGUUCAUUCAGAUUAAUGAUGUUUCAGAUCCAAUUAUUUUGUCUUUUAGACUAUUCCUGUUGGGGAGUUGCUGCUACUAGUUAAUAUUUCAUCUGGCUUAGAGUUCUUGAAUUUAUAGUGUAUGCAGAAUUAUCUCCUUGGAUCUCUCAAUGUUUCCUUAUGCAAUGUUCUAAGAGACAACAUCAGUUAAUUAUUAUGAAUGUAUAAAACAUCUGACCAGCAGGUAUUGGAAAAUUGCAUCUAGGUAAUUCCCUGUCUCAUGUAAUAAACAAAGAUCUUUUAGAAUGGUUCAACAUCAGAAUACUUUCUUCUUAAGAAAUGGAAUUAUUCCUACCUCAUACAUUUAAUGAUCUUAACUUUUUUAAAGAGACAACUGUUAAAAAUCCAGGUCCAUUUAGAGGUGUUUUAGCUACAGUGGAGAAUGCUGGGUUUAACAGACAGCACUGGUGCAGGGUACUGAAGGAAGUCUUCCAUGUCAGUUGAAAAAGUUUGAAGAAAACUCCUCUUGAGGUCUCUGAUACCUACAAAGUGGGCCUGUGGAGAAUGACACACCAAGACAGACAUAUGACCAAGGCAGUAAGAUGGAAAGAGGCUCCACUCUGCAAGGCCACCUGCAUUUUUUCAUUUUUUUUCUGCUUCUUUCAGUCCCAGAAUGUCUGUGACUCCAAAGUCACUCGCACAGUUUUGUUUGAUGGGUUUUUUAACCUAUUUUGUCUG